Molecule: ribosomal RNA, 253 nt
Filed under: uncultured bacterium
Lineage: Bacteria
Description: partial 16S ribosomal RNA
Rfam family: Bacterial small subunit ribosomal RNA
Source: RNAcentral
UACGAAGGGGGCUAGCGUUGUUCGGAAUCACUGGGCGUAAAGCGCACGUAGGCGGUUCGUUAUGUCGGAUGUGAAAGCCCUUGGCUUAACCGAGGAAGUGCAUCCGAAACUGGCGAGCUAGAGUACUAAAGAGGAUCGCGGAAUUCCCGGUGUAGAGGUGAAAUUCGUAGAUAUCAGGAGGAACACCGGUGGUGUAAACGGCUUUCUGGACCGUAACUGACGCUGAGGCACGAAAGCGUGGGUAGCAAACAGG